CCCUGCCCUUUGUACACACCGCCCGUCGCUACUACCGAUUGAAUGGCUUAGUGAGACCUCCGGAUCGGCGCCCUUCUGAUGGCAACAUUGGAUAGACGUUGAAAAGCUGGUCAAACUUGGUCAUUUAGAGGAAG
This 134-nucleotide ribosomal RNA is filed under the name uncultured eukaryote. RNAcentral's name for it is "partial small subunit ribosomal RNA". It matches the Rfam family "Eukaryotic small subunit ribosomal RNA", at positions 1651 to 1782 of the family's 1831-position model. The record is from RNAcentral.